GAGCACUGUCACAGUGAAACAAGAACUUGGUAUUGUGACAUCGCAAACUGUGGAAGGACCUGCAGGACGUGCUGAGUGUAUGAGGGGGUCUUCCUUUCAGGAGGGGCUGUGAGGGGUCCUGCCUCUCAGGAGGGGCUGUGGGGGGGUCUUCCUUUCAGGAGGGGCUGUGACGGGGUCCUGCCUCUCAGGAGGGGCUGUGAGGGGGUCUUCCUUUCAGGAGGGGCUGUGAGGGGGUCCUGCCUCUCAGGAGGGGCUGUGAGGGGGUCUUCCUUUCAGGAGGGACUGUGGGGCGUCCUGCCUCUCAGGAGGGGGUGGGGGGGGUCUGCCUGCACUGACGCUUUCUUCACCGUGAGAAAGGACUGCCUUAGUUACAGGAAGAGAAGCACUGAGAUGCCCACUCUGACACUUGUUCCAGUAAGCGUGUGGCUGCUGGCAAGUUACUCAGUCGCUGUGAACCUGCUUCUUUCUCUUAAAAAUCAAAAGGAACCCCCCAGGGCUUCGGGGGGGUCGUGCCAGAUGGCACUGGGCAGCAGCAGCCUUUGCCACACAGAAGUGUUCAGAGAGACCUGGAGGGGAAGCCGCCCCGACCCCUGGGAGCCCCGAUGGAACGUUCCGGCCUCACGCCCCGCCUCACCUUGUGUGCCCAGCAGUCCUGCACCUCACACUCCAGGUUGAGGGGCUCGCUCUCUGCGGACAGGGAAUAGACCUCCUGGAGGACUUCUAUUGGAAAAGCUGAUCCUUGAAUACAGACAGACAGAACCCCCUCAUUUUUUUGGCUGUGCUAUGUGGGAGACGGGCUCGGGACGCGGAGAACUCAUCUGCCCCAAAGAAGCGUUCACGUAACAGGAGGAGGAGACCAGAGCAGACCCCGGUGG
Molecule: non-coding RNA, 875 nt
Organism: Odocoileus virginianus texanus
Lineage: Eukaryota; Metazoa; Chordata; Mammalia; Artiodactyla; Cervidae
Source: RefSeq, a predicted model, not a curated record